CCUACGGGAGGCAGCAGUGAGGAAUAUUGGUCAAUGGGCGCGAGCCUGAACCAGCCAAGUCGCGUGAGGGAGGACGGCCCUACGGGUUGUAAACCUCUUUUGCCGGGGAGCAACGGGCGCCACGUGUGGCGCCACUGAGAGUACCCGGAGAAAAAGCAUCGGCUAACUCCGUGCCAGCAGCCGCGGUAAUACGGAGGAUGCGAGCGUUAUCCGGAUUUAUUGGGUUUAAAGGGUGCGGCGGGGGAUCGUUAAGUCAGUGGUCAAAUUGGGGGGUCCAACCCCUUCCCGCCAUUGAAACUGGCGUUCUUGAGUGGAAGAGAGGUAUGCGGAAUGCGUGGUGUAGCGGUGAAAUGCAUAGAUAUCACGCAGAACCCCGAUUGCGAAGGCAGCAUGCCGGCUUCCGACUGACGCUGAAGCACGAAAGCGUGGGGAUCGAACAGGAUUAGAUACCCCUGUAGUC
RNAcentral lists this ribosomal RNA (460 nucleotides) under uncultured bacterium. RNAcentral's name for it is "partial 16S ribosomal RNA". It matches the Rfam family "Bacterial small subunit ribosomal RNA", at positions 338 to 795 of the family's 1533-position model. The record is from RNAcentral.